GAACUCCUCAACCCUAGUCAGAUUUUGAAUCUGACCAGUGGCUUGGAUUUGGGGGCUUGCUGGCCGUUUUGAUUCGGUCUGGCUCCCCUUGAAUGUAUUAGCUUGGACUUGUUACUAAGGCUACAUAGCGUGAUAACUAUCUACGCUUUGCUGUCUUUGAAACAUUGUAGAGUCUAGCUUCUAAUCGUCCUUCGGACAACACUUCAAU
This 208-nucleotide unclassified non-coding RNA is filed under the name uncultured Peniophorella. RNAcentral's name for it is "sequence contains ITS2". The record is from RNAcentral. Lineage: Eukaryota; Fungi; Basidiomycota; Agaricomycetes; Corticiales; Corticiaceae.